AAAAAUUGCUCCACCUCAGUGGUUUUCAACCUAUUUUCAUUUGCAGACCCCUACAAAAUUUUGAACGGAGGUGGAGACCUUUUGGGAAUUUCUAAUGGAGGUGUGGACACCUUUAAUUGUAAGUGUGGGUAUUCACAUGCUUUUGAUUGGUCAGUCAUCUUUCACGGACCUCUUAGACACAUAGUCUGUGGGCCACAG
Long non-coding RNA from Gavialis gangeticus (Gharial), 198 nucleotides. RefSeq lists it as uncharacterized. The transcript has 3 exons. The record is from RefSeq and is a predicted model, not a curated record. Lineage: Eukaryota; Metazoa; Chordata; Crocodylia; Gavialidae.